RNAcentral lists this long non-coding RNA (1707 nucleotides) under Nicotiana tabacum (common tobacco). RNAcentral's name for it is "long non-coding RNA (NTAB_LNC018509)". The record is from RNAcentral. Lineage: Eukaryota; Viridiplantae; Streptophyta; Magnoliopsida; Solanales; Solanaceae.
AUUGAAAUGAUAUUUACUAGAAAUAUAGAAAUCAUAACAAUCAAAUAUCAAAUUUAUAUACUUACAAAUGUCAUUCAACAUAGAGAAUGUGAACCGAAAUAAACUAUUUGUAUAUAGAAGAUCUCUAUAACUAAUUCCAAGAAUGAAAUUAUACAUAAUUGUACGUCUAUAAUUGAAUAAUGCUUGGAUCAAACUAUUAGUCUGGAUUCAUGUAAAAUGCAACUAGUUCAGCAACAAGAGAUUUCUUCACUUCCACAACUCUUUCUUCCACUCUUUCUGCUGCUUCCCUUUGACAGCUUCCCCUCCAAUUCCACUCUUUCUCCUACUUCCCUUUAGCAGCUUCCUCUCCACUACUGCUAUUUCCCUUAAAUUGAGACAAGAAGGUUGUUUGAGGUUGUCAAUCUAUAUUUUUAUAAAAUGGGUUAUAAAUUAGCAAGUAGUUGAAAGUUAAAAGAAGAUAUCAUAAUCUACAUGCAAGAAUGAUUUAAAAAUAUGAAGUUAUAUAGUGCAACUUCUUUUACCAAUAGCAUCAUCUUUAUGCAGUAGAGCAACCAACUGAACUAUUUCAGGAGUUAUCUUCUAUCAACUAAUAAAAAAUCCUUAUGAGUAGAAAAAUUAACUUUAAGAAAGAAAGAAGGUGUUUGCUGUCAAAUCUAUAAGGACCUUACCAUAAGAUGCCACACACUAGACCUUCUCACUGCGACUCCAUGUCACACGAACACAUGCCAAUCACAUGUGUGCCACCUUAUUUUUCAGCUAAUCAACCAGCAUAGCUAUCAGUACAUUUCAACCUAGUAAAUUGUAUACAUGUUCAGCUGAUGAUUGCACAAUUACCAUAAGGAUAGAAACAAUUAUCAAAGUAAUAGCACCGUAUAAUUAGACAAUCUGGACAAUGACUUAUUAAAAUUUCUCACAGCAAAAGCGCAGUGAUACUCACAAUGGAGGUGUGGAAGGCAACAAGAAACAAUAAGCAUUGUUAGCUUUCCUUCCGAAUAGAGCAACAUAUGAGUUGUGCAACCUUGAGAUUAGAAGAAACCUUUGUUGGUGGCCUGCACAUCAUUGAAUCAGAUAAGAAUUCAGGAAACCUCAUCAAUUUAGUUCAUAUUCGAAAAUGAAUAAACAAUACGGAAGGUCAAAGAAUUUAAAAUGCUCUCUCAAGAAUUUUGUCAAAUACUCGUAGGGCAUAAUCUAUGAAAGUGAUAUCCACAUCAGUAUAUUGUACAAUAACACCCCACAACUUCUAUUUUGCAGAUCCAUAUUAAAUAACCACAAUAUUACACUCACACAAUAAAAUCACAACAUAGAUUAUGCUUCGAAAUUAUAAACUUAGAAUACUUCUAAACAUCAUUCAAUUCCUCCAUAAAAUCAAAACACUCCAGAAAGAGGGAACAAUUCGAAUCUAAUCAAGAAAGCAAGAAAAAUGGUGAUUUCUAAUGUGUCAAUAUCAGUACACAAAUAGAUGGAAAGAUAGAAUUAAGCAAGAAGACAGUAUUCUAGGGGACAUUCAUACUGCUAUUCCUUAAGGUGCUUGAGGUUCACGGUUGGGGUGGAGGGAUUUGGAUGAGAUAGAGAAAUUGGGGAGGGGAAAAUGAACUUGAAUGUUAUUGUUACGACUUUUGAUGGUUAUCGCAGGGAGUAGGGUUUUUUCUGAGGAGAUUUUCAGAGGGAAAUUUUGGGAGGAAGUUUUGCAAAAAAUAUUUUUCUCUC